UGAAAAACCAACCCUAUCGCUGCCAUUUGACUCUGUGGAUAACUGAUUCUCUUUACUCAAUGGUCUUUAUGUUAGGAGAAGUACAGUGGAGACCAAAAUUUUACCCGUUUCUCAAGUUCUUUGAGUCUAAGAUUGAAAUUAAAUGUUGUGUAUGCUUAUAUUUAUGCCCAAUUUGACAUGCUCAGCGACGAAAUUCUGAAGCUUUAGUCUUUAUAAAGUCAUUUCAAGCAAGAGAUGAACAGCCUAUUAUGUAAUUGAUCCUAUUUGACGGUGAGAAGAAAGAAAAAGAGGCUUUGGAUGACUCUAUGGGUCAACUACAACUUGAGAAUGCCCCGCCUACUUUAAAGAAGAAGAAGAAGAAGAAAUGUCGCCGUACUUCCAAGUGUUCAGUUUGCCUUCGGAAGGGUUGUGACCAAAGUAUGUGCCCCUAUGGGUCUAGGAUCCCGCCUGGCGUGACUCUGGUUGGUGAGGGCUAUGAACUAGCUUGUAGGCGCUGUAUUCGCAAGGAUAAUAUGUGUGGGCACAAUAUGUCAUUUGCUCUGCCAUUUGCUGUGUUAAUUGUAAUGACUAUGGCCACCGUGUUCUUGACUGCCCGAUGCCAAAUAUGAUAACAUUGAUUCCAGGCUAGACGUAGACGAAGUGACUUACCACCUGCCCGUAUCGCACAAGUCAUACGACUCAUCCAUUGUUUAGUAAUGACUGCAUAUGAGCCUGCUGAAGCUGAGGAUUUCCUGGAGUUUUGCUUAAUUUUCUCUUUAUUAUUUUAGUUGUAUGUUGUGAAUGCUUCAGUAGUUACAUAUAAUGCAUACAUGGUAUA
Long non-coding RNA from Pyrus x bretschneideri (Chinese white pear), 817 nucleotides. RefSeq lists it as uncharacterized. The record is from RefSeq and is a predicted model, not a curated record. NCBI's taxonomy places the organism in Eukaryota, Viridiplantae, Streptophyta, Magnoliopsida, Rosales, Rosaceae. The transcript is spliced from 2 exons.